RNAcentral lists this ribosomal RNA (793 nucleotides) under uncultured bacterium. RNAcentral's name for it is "bacterial SSU rRNA". It matches the Rfam family "Bacterial small subunit ribosomal RNA", at positions 8 to 796 of the family's 1533-position model. The record is from RNAcentral.
AGAGUUUGAUCAUGGCUCAGGAUGAACGCUAGCGGCAGGCUUAACACAUGCAAGUCGAGGGGCAGCGGGGGUAGCAAUACUCGCCGGCGACCGGCAAACGGGUGCGGAACACGUACGCAACAUACCCUGGUCUGGGGCAUAGCCUUCUGAAAAGGAGAUUAACACCCCAUAAGAUAAUAGCGUGGCAUCACGCAGUUAUAAAAAAUUUAUUGGAUCAGGAUUGGCGUGCGUCCUAUUAGCUAGUUGGUACGGGUAACGGCCUACCAAGGCGACGAUAGGUAGCUGGUGUGAGAGCACGACCAGCCACACGGGCACUGAGACACGGGCCCGACUCCUACGGGAGGCAGCAGUGAGGAAUAUUGGUCAAUGGACGCAAGUCUGAACCAGCCAUGCCGCGUGAAGGAUGAAGGCGUUCUGCGUUGUAAACUUCUCUUAUUGGGGAAGAAACCUGAAUUUUCUAAUUCAGCCGACGGUACCCAAGGAAUAAGCACCGGCUAACUCCGUGCCAGCAGCCGCGGUAAUACGGAGGGUGCAAGCGUUAUCCGGAUUUACUGGGUUUAAAGGGUGUGUAGGCGGACUUUUAAGUCAGCGGUGAAAUCUCCGGGCUCAACCCGGAAACUGCCAUUGAUACUAUUGGUCUUGAAUGUUGUUGAGGUGGGCGGAACGGGUCUGUAGCGGUGAAAUGCAUAGAUAUGACCCGGAACACCGAUUGCGAAGGCAGCCCACUAAGCAAUGAUUGACGCUGAGGCACGAAAGCGUGGGGAUCAAACAGGAUUAGAUACCCUAGUAGUCC